UGGAUCCAGACUUUGAUCAUGGCUCAGGAUGAACGCUAGCUACAGGCUUAACACAUGCAAGUCGAGGGGAAACGACAUCGAAAGCUUGCUUUUGAUGGGCGUCGACCGGCGCACGGGUGAGUAACGCGUAUCCAACCUGCCCACCACUUGGGGAUAACCUUGCGAAAGUAAGACUAAUACCCAAUGAUAUCUCUAGAAGACAUCUGAAAGAGAUUAAAGAUUUAUCGGUGAUGGAUGGGGAUGCGUCUGAUUAGCUUGUUGGCGGGGUAACGGCCCACCAAGGCAACGAUCAGUAGGGGUUCUGAGAGGAAGGUCCCCCACAUUGGAACUGAGACACGGUCCAAACUCCUACGGGAGGCAGCAGUGAGGAAUAUUGGUCAAUGGACGAGAGUCUGAACCAGCCAAGUAGCGUGCAGGAUGACGGCCCUAUGGGUUGUAAACUGCUUUUAUAAGGGAAUAAAGUGAGUCUCGUGAGACUUUUUGCAUGUACCUUAUGAAUAAGGACCGGCUAAUUCCGUGCCAGCAGCCGCGGUAAUACGGAAGGUCCGGGCGUUAUCCGGAUGUAUUGGGUUUAAAGGGAGCGUAGGCCGGAGAUUAAGCGUGUUGUGAAAUGUAGACGCUCAACGUCUGCACUGCAGCGCGAACUGGUUUCCUUGAGUACGCACAAAGUGGGCGGAAUUCGUGGUGUAGCGGUGAAAUGCUUAGAUAUCACGAAGAACUCCGAUUGCGAAGGCAGCUCACUGGAGCGCAACUGACGCUGAAGCUCGAAAGUGCGGGUAUCGAACAGGAUUAGAUACCCUGGUAGUCCGCACGGUAAACGAUGGAUGCCCGCUGUUGGUCUGAAUAGGUCAGCGGCCAAGCGAAAGCAUUAAGCAUCCCACCUGGGGAGUACGCCGGCGACGGUGCAACUCAAAUGAAUUGACGGA
RNAcentral lists this ribosomal RNA (926 nucleotides) under uncultured Bacteroidota bacterium. RNAcentral's name for it is "bacterial SSU rRNA". It matches the Rfam family "Bacterial small subunit ribosomal RNA", at positions 1 to 917 of the family's 1533-position model. The record is from RNAcentral. Lineage: Bacteria; Pseudomonadati; Bacteroidota.